UAUGCUAAAUGGAUAAACUCAGGUGACCUAUUGCUAUCUGUUUUCGUCCGUCGUCGUGCGUCGUGUGUUAACAUUUGAACAUUUUUAGCUUCUUCUCUGAAACCACUGAACCAAUUUCAACCAAAUUUGGCAUAUAGCAUGUAUGGGUGAAGGGGAACAAAAAUUGUGAAUUUCACGGUCCCUGUCCCCCUGGGGCCUGGGAAGUUGGUCAAAAACCACUAAAAUUAGUGCAAUCUUUAAAAAUCUUCUUCUUUACUCCUGGACAUCAAGUAGUUAAACUGUUGGUAUGAUCGUAAUCAGCAUUGAGUUCUCUACCAAAAUUGUGAAAUUUAUGGCCCCAGGGUCAGGGGUUCUUGUGCUAGGGCGGGGCUAAACAGGUUAUAUAGUGAAAAUGCAUUAUUUCUUUGAAAUUCUUCUUUUCUGUUUGUGAGCAUUAAAUAAACUAACCAAGUGCAAAGUUAUGUUGAAUAAGACUGCCUCUUCUCAAAUUGUGAAUUUAAUGGCCCCAGGGUCAGGGGUUCUAGUAGUAGGGUGGGGCUAUAUAGAUUAUAUAGUGAAAUUGCAUAAAUUCUUUGAAAUUCUUCUUCUCUGUUCAUGGGCAUUAGAUAAACUAAUCAAGUGCAUGGCUAUGUUGAAUAAGGCUGUCUCUUCCAAAAUUGUGAAUUUCAUGGCCCCAGGGUCAGGGGUUCUAGUGCUAGGGCGGGGCUAUAUAGAUUAUAUAGUAAAAAAUGAAUUAUUUCUUUGAAAAUUUUCUUCUUUGCUCCUGAGUAUUAAAUAAACUAACCACAUAAUUACAUAAGUACUUAAUUAUGUUGAAUAAAGCUACCUCUUCAAAAAUUGUGAAUUUCAUGGCCCCUGGGUUGGGGAUUCUGGCGUUAGGGUGAGGCUUUAUUGAAUAUAUAGUGAAAAUGCAUAAAUUCUUUAAAACUCUUCUUUUCUGCACCUGAGCAUUUAACCAAUAAACUAUGUACAUAGUUAUGAGGAGGAAUGCCUCUUUGAGAUUUUUGAAUUUCAGGGUCCCUGGGUUAGAGAUUCUUGUGUUAGGGGGUGGGGGUGGGGGGCUCUGAUGUUUAUAUAGUGAAAAUGCUUGAAUUCUUUGAAAAUCUUUUCCUUUGUUAUUUGAUAUGAUGCCAAUGAUCUUAGUAUAUAUUUAUGAAAAAACUGCUUCUUCCAAAAAUGAUUAAUUUCCUGUCCCCUGGGGCAGAGGUAUUUUGGGGUGGGGGGGGGGUAACAUAGUCUGAAAUAAUUUAAUGCUUUGAAGUUUGCACUUUGGUAUUAAUCAACAGCAUGAUGAAAUAAACUUUUUAAAAAUUUCCAAAAUUUCGAAAGAUGUGGCCCCAGGGUCAGUGGUUCCUGUGGGAUGGGGAGCUCAACUAUGGACCCGCCCUAACAUAAGAAGCCCUGACCCAGGGGCCAUGAAAUUCACUAAAAGUGGAAAUGCAUUUUCUCUUUGUUGCUCUGAUCUACCUCUGGGUUUUAAGUAACCAAAAUUAGCAUGCUGAGUGUAUAAUUAUGAUAAGCAAUGGUGCCUCUUUCAAAAUUGUAAAUUUCAUGGCCUCUAGUUUAA
Saccostrea echinata is the source of this 1567-nucleotide long non-coding RNA. RefSeq lists it as uncharacterized. The transcript is spliced from 2 exons. The record is from RefSeq and is a predicted model, not a curated record. Lineage: Eukaryota; Metazoa; Mollusca; Bivalvia; Ostreida; Ostreidae.